ACCUCAAAAUGACAAUUCAUGCAACAUGAUAUGUACAAAAAAAAAAAUAAUUCCCAUGUAAGAAAAAUUAAUCAUUGCAAUAAUGUAACUUAAUUGUUGGAUUUUUCCUACAAAGGGGAAUGUAAAGCUCUAGCUAUAGGUUAGCUUCUUUAUAGUCACUGUAUGUGGUUUAAGGUUGAUAAUUUAAAAGUUCCCAAAUUAUCUCUCAUAUCAUUGUCCAUUACUGACUAAUGAGACACUCUAAUUCUCACCCAUUACAUGCUACAAAUGAAAAAAACUCAAUAUAAUUAGAAGUAUUUUGCUAACCACUGUGAAGGCAUUAAAACUUCAGGAAAGCUUAGGUACUUUACUCACUCCUAGAGGGACAAAGCUCAAGUAUAAAGCUCUUAUUAUGCAAAUGCAUAUGAAUGACAUAAUAAACAAAAUAAAUAAAUAAAUAAAUGACAAUCUAAAAAAAAUUAAUUUUAUUAGGCUUUUGGAUAACACAAAUUUAUUUGC
This 498-nucleotide long non-coding RNA is filed under the name Durio zibethinus. RNAcentral's name for it is "long non-coding RNA (DZIB_LNC000426)". The record is from RNAcentral. Lineage: Eukaryota; Viridiplantae; Streptophyta; Magnoliopsida; Malvales; Malvaceae.